This 253-nucleotide ribosomal RNA is filed under the name uncultured bacterium. Its description in RNAcentral is "partial 16S ribosomal RNA". It matches the Rfam family "Bacterial small subunit ribosomal RNA", at positions 524 to 776 of the family's 1533-position model. The record is from RNAcentral.
UACAGAGGGGGCAAGCGUUGUCCGGAAUUACUGGGCGUACAGCGCGCGCAGGCGGACCGCCACGUGCUGUGUGACAAGCCACUGCUCAACAGUGGAGGGCCAGGGUACACGAGCGGUCUGGAGGCAGGGAGAGGGAUGUGGAAUGCCCGGUGGAGCGGUGAAAUGCGUAGAGAUCGGGCGGAACACCAGCGGCGAAGGCGGCAUCCUGGUCCUGUUCUGACGCUGAGGCGCGAGAGCGUGGGGAGCGAACUGG